Molecule: ribosomal RNA, 253 nt
Filed under: uncultured bacterium
Lineage: Bacteria
Description: partial 16S ribosomal RNA
Rfam family: Bacterial small subunit ribosomal RNA
Source: RNAcentral
UACGGAGGGAGCUAGCGUUGUUCGGAAUUACUGGGCGUAAAGCGCACGUAGGCGGCUUUUUAAGUCAGGGGUGAAAUCCCGGGGCUCAACCACGGAACUGCCCUUGAAACUGGAGAGCUAGAAUCUUGGAGAGGCGAGUGGAAUUCCGAGUGUAGAGGUUAAAUUCGUAGAUAUUCGGAAGAACACCAGUGGUGAAGGCGACGCGCUGGACAUGUAUUGACGCUGAGGUGAGAAAGCGUGGGGAGCAAACAGG